Molecule: long non-coding RNA, 336 nt
Filed under: Homo sapiens (human)
Lineage: Eukaryota; Metazoa; Chordata; Mammalia; Primates; Hominidae
Description: non-protein coding lnc-PIK3R1-3:1
Source: RNAcentral
AAAAUCUUCAGCUCCCAAAGCAGGCUGCUCUGUAGGAGGGAAAGAUGAAAAGUCUGAACACCUUGGAGAAUACCACUUGUGGAGGAGAGAAGCUGGCCCUUUACCUUGGCUAUUAGCACUUAUUCCUAUACCAUCAUCGAGAGAAAGAUAAGUCAGUUACUAAUUCUGUCUACUCCCUUCACCCCCAAUAAUUGACAAGAGAUCUCUUUGGAAACUCAACAUGAUACAGCUAGAUUCAGGUGAAAGACAGAGGUAGGUGUCAACCUUUUUCCUGCAAAUCUAUGCAAAUACUCUAUUGCCCCAUCCCUUCUUUAAAAUGUAACUGGAAGACACAAC